Molecule: ribosomal RNA, 253 nt
Filed under: uncultured bacterium
Lineage: Bacteria
Description: partial 16S ribosomal RNA
Rfam family: Bacterial small subunit ribosomal RNA
Source: RNAcentral
GACAGAGGUGCCAAGCGUUAGGCGGAAUCACUGGGCUUAAAGCGUGUGUAGGUGGAUUUGUAAGUACCUUGUGAAAUCCCACAGCUCAACUGUGGAACUGCUCGGUAUACUGCGAAUCUUGAGCCACUUAGGGGCAACCGGAACAAAUGGUGGAGCGGUGAAAUGCGUAGAGAUGCGGAGGAACACCGAUGGCGAAGGCAGCCCCCUGGGCUAACACUGACGCUCAGGCACGAAAGCGUGGGGAGCAAACAGG